UUCUCUUAUGCCACUUCCUCAGUGGUGUCCAGCUUUAUGGGUUGACUGCAAUUAUUUGCAUCGCCAUCCCCAUCCCAGGUCAACUCUCUGGCAAUUAGCAGUCCGGAUGCUCCACUUUACUAUUUUCUCCAGUACUAAACCUCCUUUAUCUGUUGAGAAGGUAGUUAAUUACUCUGGGCACUCUUGAGGACAACUUCUAGUUGAUCCACGUGGCCUUUGGUUGAUGGAUUCUGCUGCUGCUUGAGGCUGUUAACCUUAAGGACUUCAUCUCCCUUUAUUUUUUAUUGC
Molecule: non-coding RNA, 288 nt
Organism: Miniopterus natalensis
Lineage: Eukaryota; Metazoa; Chordata; Mammalia; Chiroptera; Miniopteridae
Source: RefSeq, a predicted model, not a curated record